UUGAGUAGGGAAAGUUUUUCGGUGUAGGAUGAGACUAUAUAGUAUCAGCUAGUUGGUAAGGUAAUGGCUUACCAAGGCUAUGACGCUUAACUGGUCUGAGAGGAUGAUCAGUCACACUGGAACUGAGACACGGUCCAGACUCCUACGGGAGGCAGCAGUAGGGAAUAUUGCGCAAUGGGGGAAACCCUGACGCAGCAACGCCGCGUGGAGGAUGACACUUUUCGGAGCGUAAACUCCUUUUCUUAGGGAAGAAUUCUGACGGUACCUAAGGAAUAAGCACCGGCUAACUCCGUGCCAGCAGCCGCGGUAAUACGGAGGGUGCAAGCGUUACUCGGAAUCACUGGGCGUAAAGGGCGCGUAGGCGGAUUAUCAAGUCUCUUGUGAAAUCUAAUGGCUUAACCAUUAAACUGCUUGGGAAACUGAUAGUCUAGAGUGAGGGAGAGGCAGAUGGAAUUGGUGGUGUAGGGGUAAAAUCCGUAGAUAUCACCAAGAAUACCCAUUGCGAAGGCGAUCUGCUGGAACUCAACUGACGCUAAGGCGCGAAAGCGUGGGGAGCAAACAGGAUUAGAUACCCUGGUAGUCCACGCCCUAAACGAUGUACACUAGUUGUUGGGGUGCUAGUCAUCUCAGUAAUGCAGCUAACGCAUUAAGUGUACCGCCUGGGGAGUACGGUCGCAAGAUUAAAACUCAAAGGAAUAGACGGGGACCCGCACAAGCGGUGGAGCAUGUGGUUUAAUUCGAAGAUACGCGAAGAACCUUACCUGGGCUUGAUAUCCUAAGAACCUCUUAGAGAUAAGAGGGUGCUAGCUUGCUAGAACUUAGAGACAGGUGCUGCACGGCUGUCGUCAGCUCGUGUCGUGAGAUGUUGGGUUAAGUCCCGCAACGAGCGCAACCCACGUAUUUAGUUGCUAACGGUUCGGCCGAGCACUCUAAAUAGACUGCCUUCGUAAGGAGGAGGAAGGUGUGGACGACGUCAAGUCAUCAUGGCCCUUAUGCCCAGGGCGACACACGUGCUACAAUGGCAUAUACAAUGAGACGCAAUACCGCGAGGUGGAGCAAAUCUAUAAAAUAUGUCCCAGUUCGGAUUGUUCUCUGCAACUCGAGAGCAUGAAGCCGGAAUCGCUAGUAAUCGUAGAUCAGCCAUGCUACGGUGAAUACGUUCCCGGGUCUUGUACUCACCGCCCGUCACACCAUGGGAGUUGAUUUCACUCGAAGCCGGAAUACUAAACUAGUUACCGUCCACAGUGGAAUCAGCGACUGGGGUGAAGUCGUAACAAGGUAACCGUAGGAGAACCUGCGGUUGGAUCACCUCCUUUCUA
RNAcentral lists this ribosomal RNA (1319 nucleotides) under Campylobacter coli. RNAcentral describes it as "bacterial SSU rRNA". It matches the Rfam family "Bacterial small subunit ribosomal RNA", at positions 197 to 1533 of the family's 1533-position model. The record is from RNAcentral. Lineage: Bacteria; Pseudomonadati; Campylobacterota; Epsilonproteobacteria; Campylobacterales; Campylobacteraceae.